This 497-nucleotide ribosomal RNA is filed under the name uncultured bacterium. RNAcentral describes it as "partial 16S ribosomal RNA". It matches the Rfam family "Bacterial small subunit ribosomal RNA", at positions 28 to 507 of the family's 1533-position model. The record is from RNAcentral.
GAUGAACGCUGGCGGCGUGCCUAAUACAUGCAAGUCGAGCGAACGGACGAGAAGCUUGCUUCUCUGAUGUUAGCGGCGGACGGGUGAGUAACACGUGGAUAACCUACCUAUAAGACUGGGAUAACUUCGGGAAACCGGCGCUAAUACCGGAUAAUAUUUUGAACCGCAUGGUUCAAAAGUGAAAGACGGUCUUGCUGUCACUUAUAGAUGGAUCCGCGCUGCAUUAGCUAGUUGGUAAGGUAACGGCUUACCAAGGCAACGAUGCAUAGCCGACCUGAGAGGGUGAUCGGCCACACUGGAACUGAGACACGGUCCAGACUCCUACGGGAGGCAGCAGUAGGGAAUCGUCCGCGAUGGGCGAAAGCCUGACGGAGCAACGCCGCGUGAGUGAUGAAGGUCUGCGGAUCGUAAAACUCUGUUAUUAGGGAAGAACAUAUGUGUAAGUAACUGUGCACAUCUUGACGGUACCUAAUCAGAAAGCCACGGCUAACUACGUG